Molecule: ribosomal RNA, 238 nt
Filed under: uncultured bacterium
Lineage: Bacteria
Description: partial 16S ribosomal RNA
Rfam family: Bacterial small subunit ribosomal RNA
Source: RNAcentral
UACGUAGGGCGCAAGCGUUAUCCGGAAUUAUUGGGCGUAAAGAGCUCGUAGGCGGUUUGUCACGUCGGCUGUGAAAUCCCGCGGCUCAACUGCGGGUCUGCAGUCGAUACGGGCAGGCUAGAGUUCGGUAGGGGAGACUGGAAUUCCUGGUGUGAGCGGUGAAAUGCGUAGAUAUCGCUUGGAACGCCGAAGGUGAAAACAGGUUGCUGGGGAUGCGCCGGACGCUGAGACGACGAAA